AGCUAUGAAACCAAGAGUAAUUGUGGAACAGCUGUAUCCUCACGAACACAUAUGGGACAAUAGUCUUCUCAAAUUACAAACUAUACUCUCCUCACCAUCCCUUGAUUGCAGCACUCAAUACAAAGAAAUGCUCAAUAUUGUGGCCGCAGAGCUGGAGUCAGAUAUACAAAACUUUACCUCAGAGGAUAUUUUGUCUGUCAAAUCUCCCAAUCAUCAUUCUAAAAACCUUAAUGUGGCUUAUAAUUAUGAAGAGAAAGAAAUUCGUAUUCAAAGUCGAAAUUGCAAGACCACAGAUUAUGUAAAUUCCUCUGUUAGAUGUCAAAAUAGCAAGCGCGAGCGCAGCCAGCAACAGUCUUUAUUUUCUUCAAGUUUACUAGAUCCUUUUGACGACUUUGUUAGUUUAAAUGAUACCCAGCAGCUGCUCAAGAACUGCAACGUCUUUCAUAACUACCCCAGGAAAGCUAAGGCUGGAAUGACAUCACCAUCACUUUCCCUGCAACCAGUUGGCAGACCAGUUAUGGGAUGUGGACAUGGACAUCCUCAUUAUAAUUGUAGAUGUCCCCAUCAUUUCAACUCACGGAACUUGCAACCCAGUAAAUCCUGAGUACAGCUGGUUUCAUAGGACUUGUCUAAUCAGAUUUAUUUUGACAAAUUUUCAGUCACUGAAGAUCUUUCUUGAGAUCAUCCUCUGCUCUGAAGAAUGAUAUUUUUGAUAUUAUUCAUUUUGUUGCUGUAUGUGACUUUUAUGGAUAGUAUUUCGAGUAUUUAAACCUUUGUAAGCUCAAAAAAAUUUAGUUGUUUGAGUUGCUCUAUGCAGCACACUACACAUGUUGAACAUUUUAUGUAUGUACUAACUAAGUAAUACCACUUAAUUUUGUUAUAGAUUUUUCCUUAUUAUACAUGAUUAGUACACGUAAUAUAUGCUGUAUACUGUAUUAUAUAUAUGGGUAUUGUUUCCUAUGAUUUGAAUAUUUAACUUUGUUUGUUUAUAAAAUAUAUAAAAAUAUAUUAUCAAUACUGUAAUAUAUUGUCUGCUUAUAGGCUAUGUUGACAGAGGCACUAGUACCCAUGGACUGAUCUAAUUGAAGUAAUUAUGUGCAACUUUAUUUUCUGACGAAAUUAGUUUAGAAGUUUGAUAAUGAUGAACAAUUUAAAGCUUAAAUUUAAUUUCAACAAUUCACAAUACAUUUUGGGAAUAUUUUAAGUGGCAAUAAUAUUAUCAGAUUACUUAUAUCGCGUAAGAAUUGGUUUUUUGUUCGUUAAAAGUAGCUCCUGAUCAUGCUAUCCCAUGUUUUUCUUCAACCUUAAGCAGUAAAAUUUUUACUGAGUAAAAGUUAAAACUCUGUUUUUCAAUAUUAUCUGACAAUUAAUAUUGUUUCGUAUCUGACAAUUAUAAUCCAUUGACCACGAUUGUAAAAGUCUACCAUCGAUUUGGAGUACAAUGUACAUGGAAAGAAUCUUUUUUAAUAUUUAUGUUACACCUUGCAUCAGUAACAGUUUAAAUUUCUGACGCUCACAUAACAGAUGAAUUAUUUUCGACUAUUUGAAGCGAGUGUUAUUGUUAUUGGUUAUUUUUGAGCCUGAUAUUGCACUAUUUGCUAUCACAAUUAUAAUACAUUUUCAAAGUCUA
This is a long non-coding RNA of Bolinopsis microptera, 1630 nucleotides long. RefSeq lists it as uncharacterized. The record is from RefSeq and is a predicted model, not a curated record. Lineage: Eukaryota; Metazoa; Ctenophora; Tentaculata; Lobata; Bolinopsidae. The transcript is spliced from 4 exons.